GAGGGUACAGCUUAGUGGUAGAGUGCCUGCUUAGUGAGCAUGAGGUCCUGGGUUCCAUUCCCAGUACCCCCA
This 72-nucleotide transfer RNA is filed under the name Camelus bactrianus (Bactrian camel). It matches the Rfam family "tRNA". From Rfam's summary of the family: Transfer RNA (tRNA) molecules are approximately 80 nucleotides in length. Their secondary structure includes four short double-helical elements and three loops (D, anti-codon, and T loops). The record is from Rfam by way of RNAcentral. Lineage: Eukaryota; Metazoa; Chordata; Mammalia; Artiodactyla; Camelidae. RNAcentral also lists the same sequence under 1 other name.